This 468-nucleotide ribosomal RNA is filed under the name uncultured bacterium. Its description in RNAcentral is "partial 16S ribosomal RNA". It matches the Rfam family "Bacterial small subunit ribosomal RNA", at positions 28 to 507 of the family's 1533-position model. The record is from RNAcentral.
GACGAACGCUGGCGGCGUGCUUAACACAUGCAAGUCGAACGGAAAGGCCCUGCUUUUGUGGGGUGCUCGAGUGGCGAACGGGUGAGUAACACGUGAGUAACCUGCCCUUGACUUUGGGAUAACUUCAGGAAACUGGGGCUAAUACCGGAUAGGAGCUCCUGCUGCAUGGUGGGCGUUGGAAAGUUUCGGCGGUUGGGGAUGGACUCGCGGCUUAUCAGCUUGAUGGUGGGGUAGUGGCUUACCAAGGCUUUGACGGGUAGCCGGCCUGAGAGGGUGACCGGCCACAUUGGGACUGAGAUACGGCCCAGACUCGUACGGGAGGCAGCAGUGGGGAAUAUUGCACAAUGGGCGGAAGCCUGAUGCAGCAACGCCGCGUGCGGGAUGACGGCCUUCGGGUUGUAAACCGCUUUCGCCUGUGACGAAGCGUGAGUGACGGUAAUGGGUAAAGAAGCACCGGCUAACUACGUG